This 252-nucleotide ribosomal RNA is filed under the name uncultured prokaryote. RNAcentral's name for it is "partial 16S ribosomal RNA". It matches the Rfam family "Bacterial small subunit ribosomal RNA", at positions 524 to 775 of the family's 1533-position model. The record is from RNAcentral.
UACGAGAGGCCCAAACGUUAUUCGGAAUUACUGGGCUUAAAGAGUCCGUAGGCGGCGCGGAAAGUGGGGUGUGAAAUCCCUCGGCUCAACCGAGGAAUUGCGCUCCAAACUGCCGUGCUUGAGGAACCUAGAGGUGAGCAGAACUGAUGGUGGAGCGGUGAAAUGCGUUGAUAUCAUCAGGAAUACCGGAGGCGAAGGCGGCUCACUGGGGGUUUUCUGACGCUGAGAGACGAAAGCCAGGGUAGCGAACGG